AGAAAGUCAUAUAGGUGCUGUCCAUACUUCUAUAAUAUAGUUGCCCCCCAUGUUGAUUGUGAGUACAGAUGAUAAACAGGGCACCAAAUGCUGCUUUUGCCUCUUUUUUUUCUUCACAAUUUCACCCACUGAUGGCUAUUGAGAAAGUCUGUAAAGUAGGGAUCUUGGAGUUCACUUUACAUCUGGUGACAAGACAUAUAAGAGCAAUGUAAUUUUAUAAGAAAGUCAUGUAGAAAGAAGAAUGUUUAAGAAGAUGUAAUUAGUAUGUUUGAAGAAGUACACUCAUAUGAUGGCUUUUUGGAUGCAUAUUGAGAGGAGUCUGUUUUUUGGUGCAUCUCUAUACAUUAUGAGUUAUAUACUCCCAUAGGCCAUAACAAUUGUAGGUGAUAUCUAAACUUCUAUAAUUUAGAUGCCCCUGUGCUGAUUGUGAGUAGAGAUAAGAAACAUGUGGGUCAGGUGUUAGUUAGAAGGGUUACUGUAAGUGCGGUUUGUUCGAUUACGACUGAUUCAGGUGGAACAACCAACUUGUUUUGUUGCAUUGUUUUUAAUGUAUAAAUACUUUCUGUAUUACA
Erigeron canadensis is the source of this 572-nucleotide long non-coding RNA. RefSeq lists it as uncharacterized. The record is from RefSeq and is a predicted model, not a curated record. Lineage: Eukaryota; Viridiplantae; Streptophyta; Magnoliopsida; Asterales; Asteraceae. The transcript is spliced from 3 exons.